Molecule: ribosomal RNA, 855 nt
Filed under: uncultured bacterium
Lineage: Bacteria
Description: bacterial SSU rRNA
Rfam family: Bacterial small subunit ribosomal RNA
Source: RNAcentral
AGAGUUUGAUCAUGGCUCAGAACGAACGCUGGCGGCGUGCUUAACACAUGCAAGUCGAACGAGAAAGUUUCCUUCGGGAAACGAGUAGAGUGGCGCACGGGUGAGUAACGCGUAGGUAAUCUACCCUAAUAUUUGGGAUAACAUUGGGAAACUGGUGCUAAUACCGAAUACCCUUCUUUUCUGCCGGGUUAAGGAGGAAAGGUGGCCUCUUCAUGAAAGCUACCGUAUAAGGAUGAGCCUGCGUACCAUUAGCUAGUAGGUGGGGUAAAGGCCCACCUAGGCUACGAUGGUUAGCGGGUCUGAGAGGAUGAUCCGCCACACUGGAACUGGAACACGGACCAGACUCCUACGGGAGGCAGCAGUGAGGAAUAUUGCGCAAUGGGGGAAACCCUGACGCAGCGACGCCGCGUGAGUGAGGAAGGUUUUCGGAUCGUAAAGCUCUGUCAGGAGGGAAGAAGUGUUAUACAGUUAAUACCUGUAUAAUUUGACGGUACCUUCAGAGGAAGCACCGGCUAACUCCGUGCCAGCAGCCGCGGUAAUACGGAGGGUGCAAGCGUUGUUCGGAAUUACUGGGCGUAAAGGGCGCGUAGGCGGCCUGAUAAGUCAGAUGUGAAAGUCCACGGCUCAACCCGUGGAAGUGCAUUUGAAACUGUCAGGCUUGAGUAUCGNAGGGGAGUGUGGAAUUCCCGGUGUAGAGGUGAAAUUCGUAGAGNUCGGGAGGAACACCGGUGGCGAANGCNACACUCUGGACGAAUACNGACGCUGAGGNNCNAAAGCGUGGGGAGCAAACAGGANUAGAUACCCUGGUAGUCCANGCCGUNNCGAUGUGACUAGGGAUAGGGGUGNUGAUNCCUC